This 460-nucleotide ribosomal RNA is filed under the name uncultured bacterium. RNAcentral describes it as "partial 16S ribosomal RNA". It matches the Rfam family "Bacterial small subunit ribosomal RNA", at positions 338 to 795 of the family's 1533-position model. The record is from RNAcentral.
CCUACGGGUGGCAGCAGUGAGGAAUAUUGGUCAAUGGCCGAGAGGCUGAACCAGCCAAGUCGCGUGAGGGAAGACGGCCCUACGGGUUGUAAACCUCUUUUGUCGGGGAGCAAAGACAGUCACGUGUGACCCAUUGAGAGUACCCGAAGAAAAAGCAUCGGCUAACUCCGUGCCAGCAGCCGCGGUAAUACGGAGGAUGCGAGCGUUAUCCGGAUUUAUUGGGUUUAAAGGGUGCGUCGGCGGCCUUUUAAGGCAGCGGGGAAAGUCUGUGGCUAAACCCUAGAAGUGCCGUUGAAACUGGGAGGCUUGAGUAGGUUUGAGGCAGGCGGAAUGCGUGGUGUAGCGGUGAAAUGCUUAGAUAUCACGCAGAACCCCGAUUGCGAAGGCAGCCUGCCAAGCCAUGACUGACGCUGAUGCACGAAAGCGUGGGGAUCAAACAGGAUUAGAUACCCGGGUAGUC